GCAAUAUAAAAAAAUGUCACAUCGGCUAUUUUCUUUGUAGACCAUUUGAAUUCUAGCUGCUCAUUUUCAUGGGCAAAGGAGUUAACCUCUACUGUAUUAGAAUUCAUAUAUCAUAACUGGUUUGUAUUAGAUGUUGUGGGACUUUUUGGAAUAUUCAAUUUUUUUACUGUAGUGGGGUUGUUGAAUAGAAAAUGUUGGCUAUCAAGGUUAUUUGUUUUUUAGCUAGGAUGUUUGAUGAAGGGAAGAGGUACAUUGUUAGCAUACAUCAAACAUUCCAAUCUAUACCAUGAGGUGGUGUGGAUAGGCUGAUCAUUAUGUUAAAGUAAUAUUUUUCCAUUUUGCAAGGGGCCAUAUAAAUAUGGUCUGUUUAUCAGUGUCUAAUUGAGUAAGACUUAAGAAUUGUUGAGUUUUCAUUGUUGCCCCUUAGCUUGCUCCUUACAUGGUUUCUAUCUUUAUUUAAUGUUAUCAUGUUAUUUCUUGUGUGUUGGAAUGUGU
RNAcentral lists this unclassified non-coding RNA (495 nucleotides) under Hevea brasiliensis (rubber tree). Lineage: Eukaryota; Viridiplantae; Streptophyta; Magnoliopsida; Malpighiales; Euphorbiaceae. The record is from RNAcentral.